UACGAACCGUCCAAACGUUAUUCGGAAUCACUGGGCUUAAAGGGUGCGUAGGCUGCGCUGUAAGUUGGGUGUGAAAGCCCUCGGCUUAACCGAGGAACUGCGCUCAAUACUGCUGUGCUUGAGGGAGAUAGAGGUGAGCGGAACUUAGGGUGGAGCGGUGAAAUGCGUUGAUAUCCUAAGGAACACCUGGGGCGAAAGCGGCUCACUGGAUCUUUUCUGACGCUGAUGCACGAAAGCUAGGGUAGCGAACGGG
Molecule: ribosomal RNA, 253 nt
Filed under: uncultured bacterium
Lineage: Bacteria
Description: partial 16S ribosomal RNA
Rfam family: Bacterial small subunit ribosomal RNA
Source: RNAcentral